AGAUGGGAACAGGCAAGAAAACCUGGAGCUGCAUGCUCUGAGGCUGCCCGACCCUGCGCUCCAGAACAGGAGACAAGUGUUCAGGAGACAAGCAUGUCAGCCAUGACACAAGGCAGAUGAGAGGGAUCCCCAGCGUCCACAUGUGGAGGCAGCGGGGGCAGCCGAUCCAUACAAACAGGCCGAACAUCAAUCAGGGCUGGUCCCAGGCCACCCGGCCGGGUGCAAUGCAGAAAUGGAGAUCUGCCCCGGGGCAGCCAGAUGAGUGUAGGAAGGAGGGAGGGCUGCAAGAAGCUGGGGGCAGCCGCCAUCCCCCUGUGGCCUGCGCGGGCCUGUGCCCCGCCCCAA
Molecule: non-coding RNA, 345 nt
Filed under: Pongo abelii (Sumatran orangutan)
Lineage: Eukaryota; Metazoa; Chordata; Mammalia; Primates; Hominidae
Source: RNAcentral